UUUCCGUAGGUGAACCUGCGGAAGGAUCAUUCACAAUACGUGUUUUAUGGCCCUUUUUAAACAAUCCUUAUCCUCCUUUUGUGCAACGUUAUCAGACCCUCUAUCUUUAGCUCUUAGGUUACGGAAGAGGGAACCUCUCCAACUUACCAACAUCACCUUUAACUUAUUUGUCUAAACAUUUUUUAUCACGAGUUUACUUAAAUCGAUAAUACAACUUUCAACAACGGAUCUCUUGGCUCUC
Molecule: unclassified non-coding RNA, 241 nt
Filed under: plant metagenome
Description: partial contains small subunit ribosomal RNA, internal transcribed spacer 1, and 5.8S ribosomal RNA
Source: RNAcentral